This is a long non-coding RNA of Mustela erminea (ermine), 565 nucleotides long. RefSeq lists it as uncharacterized. Lineage: Eukaryota; Metazoa; Chordata; Mammalia; Carnivora; Mustelidae. The transcript is spliced from 3 exons. The record is from RefSeq and is a predicted model, not a curated record.
CUGAGUCAGUGCAGUGGAUGGUUCUGUAGCGAAACUGCAGUUAGAGUAGCCUGCCUUGCACAGAAAUGGCUAGAUAUGAAUAAGCCUGUCAUGCUUCAUCAUUGCCUGGGACGGUGGCCCAGGAAGAGCAUGGCCUCAGCGGAGAAGCUACCCAGCUGAGUCCUGAAGGUGCUGCUGAAGGAGGCUGCUAGCUAGCUGCCGUCUUCCCAGCUGGGCAGCAUGUUCUUCCUUCAGAGCAGACCUGAUGGUCGCUCUUCCACAGCCGACACACUUCUUGGUUCUUUUUAUUACCAUUAUUACCAUAAUACAUCAGAUCGUUGAGUGAAAAGCACAUGUUUUCGUUUUCUUCUGGACAGGAAUCUGGAAAUCGGCCUUGAAGCGGUGACAGCCAACUUGACCCCUUGCAGAGAGUCUGAGAAUGAAAAGGCAAGUCAACAUGAAUGAUGGAGCCAAGAGGCUGAGCAAGGUCUUUCAGGAAGGCAGAACAAGGAAGGGAAGACAAAAGGAGAGAAGAGAAUAGUAAUAUAGUAAUAAAGAGAAUAGUAAUAAACUAUUACCUAUACUG